Long non-coding RNA from Sinocyclocheilus grahami, 330 nucleotides. RefSeq lists it as uncharacterized. NCBI's taxonomy places the organism in Eukaryota, Metazoa, Chordata, Actinopteri, Cypriniformes, Cyprinidae. The transcript is spliced from 3 exons. The record is from RefSeq and is a predicted model, not a curated record.
AAAAGAGGAGGAAGAGACACCAUUUCGAGCCUUUAAAUCUACACUCACUGGUUGUUUAAAAGAAGCGUAUUGUGUGAGGGACUGCCUCUAAAAUGAGUGGCCAUGAAAAAAGAGAAGAUGAGGGCACUGCCUCUAAAAUGUGUUCUCCAUCUCCUGGAUCAUGCUGCAUGUCUUCGAGCGAUGAAAAUAUAAGCAGUCUGCCCUCUGCAUCCAAUGAUGCAACAGUGACCUCUGACCUCAGCAUCAGUAGGAGGAGACCGAGAUCAGAGUCUCCAGAACCCAGUGGUGUAUCUGUGAAGAGUGACGGAUCUAUGGACAAACCUCUUGGAU